GGUGCCGUAGUUCAGUUUGGUUAGAAUGCCUGCCUGUCACGCAGGAGGUCGACGGUUCGAGCCCGUUCGGCACCG
RNAcentral lists this transfer RNA (75 nucleotides) under Bacteroidales bacterium. Its description in RNAcentral is "tRNA-Asp". It matches the Rfam family "tRNA". Rfam says of the family: Transfer RNA (tRNA) molecules are approximately 80 nucleotides in length. Their secondary structure includes four short double-helical elements and three loops (D, anti-codon, and T loops). Further hydrogen bonds mediate the characteristic L-shaped molecular structure. tRNAs have two regions of fundamental functional importance: the anti-codon, which is responsible for specific mRNA codon recognition, and the 3' end, to which the tRNAs corresponding amino acid is attached (by aminoacyl-tRNA synthetases). tRNAs cope with the degeneracy of the genetic code in two manners: having more than one tRNA (with a specific anti-codon) for a particular amino acid; and 'wobble' base-pairing, i.e. permitting non-standard base-pairing at the 3rd anti-codon position. Lineage: Bacteria; Pseudomonadati; Bacteroidota; Bacteroidia; Bacteroidales. The record is from RNAcentral. RNAcentral also lists the same sequence under 4 other names.